UACAGAGGGUGCGAGCGUUGUUCGGAAUUAUUGGGCGUAAAGGGCGCGUAGGCGGUGCCACAAGUCACUUGUGAAAUCUCCGGGCUUAACUCGGAGCCUGCAGGCGAAACUGUGGUGCUGGAGUGUGGGAGAGGUGCGUGGAAUUCCCGGUGUAGCGGUGAAAUGCGUAGAUAUGACAUAGAACACCUAUUGCGAAGGCAGCUGACUACGGAAAUAUUGACGCUGAGGCACGAAAGCGUGGGGAUCAAACAGG
RNAcentral lists this ribosomal RNA (253 nucleotides) under uncultured bacterium. Its description in RNAcentral is "partial 16S ribosomal RNA". It matches the Rfam family "Bacterial small subunit ribosomal RNA", at positions 524 to 776 of the family's 1533-position model. The record is from RNAcentral.